RNAcentral lists this ribosomal RNA (500 nucleotides) under uncultured bacterium. Its description in RNAcentral is "partial 16S ribosomal RNA". It matches the Rfam family "Bacterial small subunit ribosomal RNA", at positions 30 to 523 of the family's 1533-position model. The record is from RNAcentral.
AUUGAACGCUGGCGGCAGGCCUAACACAUGCAAGUCGAGCGGAUGACGGGAGCUUGCUCCUUGAUUCAGCGGCGGACGGGUGAGUAAUGCCUAGGAAUCUGCCUGGUAGUGGGGGACAACGUUUCGAAAGGAACGCUAAUACCGCAUACGUCCUACGGGAGAAAGCAGGGGACCUUCGGGCCUUGCGCUAUCAGAUGAGCCUAGGUCGGAUUAGCCAGUUGGUGGGGUAAUGGCUCACCAAGGCGACGAUCCGUAACUGGUCUGAGAGGAUGAUCAGUCAGACUGGAACUGAGACACGGUCCAGACUCCUACGGGAGGCAGCAGUGUGGAAUAUUGGACAAUGGGCGAAAGCCUGAUCCAGCCAUGCCGCGUGUGUGAAGAAGGUCUUCGGAUUGUAAAGCACUUUAAGUUGGGAGGAAGGGCAGUAAGCUAAUACCUUGCUGUUUUGACGUUACCGACAGAAUAAGCACCGGCUAACUCUGUGCCAGCAGCCGCCGCCG